AUGGCUCAGAUUGAACGCUGGCGGAAUGCUUUACACACGCAAGUCGAACGGCAGCACGGACUUCGGUCUGGUGGCGAGUGGCGAACGGGUGAGUAAUAUAUCGGAACGUGCCCAGUCGUGGGGGAUAACGUAGUGAAAAUUACGCUAAUACCGCAUACGAUCUAAGGAUGAAAGCGGGGGAUCGCAAGACCUCGCGCGAUUGGAGCGGCCGAUAUCAGAUUAGGUAGUUGGUGAGGUAAAGGCUCACCAAGCCAACGAUCUGUAGCUGGUCUGAGAGGACGACCAGCCACACUGGAACUGAGACACGGUCCAGAUCCUACGGGAGGCAGCAGUGGGGAAUUUUGGACGAUGGACGCAAGUCUGAUCCAGCCAUUCCGCGUGCAGGACGAAGGCCUUCGGGUUGUAAACUGCUUUUGUACAGAACGAAAAGGUCUCUAUUAAUACUAGGGGCUCAUGACGGUACUGUAAGAAUAAGCACCGGCUAACUACGUG
This 492-nucleotide ribosomal RNA is filed under the name uncultured bacterium. RNAcentral's name for it is "bacterial SSU rRNA". It matches the Rfam family "Bacterial small subunit ribosomal RNA", at positions 19 to 507 of the family's 1533-position model. The record is from RNAcentral.